Molecule: long non-coding RNA, 4243 nt
Organism: Equus caballus (horse)
Lineage: Eukaryota; Metazoa; Chordata; Mammalia; Perissodactyla; Equidae
Source: Ensembl
GUCAUUAGGCAUCAGGGAAACGCAAAUCAAGACCACAAUGAGACACCACUUCACACCCAUUAGAAGGGCUAUAACUUAAAAAAACAAAAAAGAAAAAUAACACGUUGGCAAGGAUACGGAAAAAUUGGAACCCUCACGCCCUGCUUGCGGGAAUGUAAAGUGGUUCGGCUGCUGUGGAAAGCAGUUUGGCAGCUCGCCUAAAUGUUAAACAUAGAGUUAGCAUAUGACCCAGUAAUUCCACUGGGUGGUAUUUACCCAAAAGAACUGAAAACAACCAUUCGAACAUACCUGUUUUGACAGGUAUGACACACGCUCCAACAUGGAUGAACCGUGAAAACACUAUACUGAGUAAAAUAAGCCAGACACAAAGGACAGACGCUGUAAGAUGCCACUUACUUGAAAUAUGUAGUGAGGAGUCGGGCUCCGGGUUAAACGUCUUUGUGCGACUUUUUGGCCGCCACAGGCCAUUACAAACGCUUUCCCUGGUGGCCAUGCGGGGAGGGGUGGGGAAGCUCCCUUCCCCCAGCAGCCCGGCCCGGCGGCGGGCACUGCGGGCUCUGAGGGAGCUGCAGGCGAGGACUCUGCCCCUGGCCGGCCUUCUCCUCGCCCAUUUACAUUCCUAGCCGGGUGCCUCCAUUCCUAGGUCGCUAUCUGCGACCUCAGGCAGGGCUCUUCUCCAGGCGCCUCUGUGAGGCCUCUUUAGGUGCGCCACUCAUGGGGGAAGAUGGAACGGGGCGUCGGUGCCUUCUCGCUUCUGUCACCGCAGACUUCCUAUAAAUGUGGUCAUACUCUACGCUUCCUUUGUGUAAGGCUCCUUUCACUCAGGGCAAUGUUUCUGAGGUUCACCUUUACUGUGGGCAGCGGCAGCUCGUUCCUUCCCGUUGCACGCAUCAGAGAGUGGAACUCUGUGUCAUCGGGUAGGCAUCGUUUAGUUCUCCAAGAAACUCCCAGACCUUUUCCCAAAACGGUUGUCCCAUUUCACGUUCCCACCAACAACGUCUGAGAUUUCCAGCUCCACAUCCUCAGAAAUCUUUAAUGCUGUCAGGUAUUUCAAUUUUAGCCGUUCUGAUGCGUGUGUAAUGGAUGUGUGCUAUAGUUUUAAUUUACACGUCCCUGAUGUUGAACAUAGUCAUGUUGAAUAUUUUUCAUUAUUGGCUAUUCAUACAUCUUCUUCAGUAAAGUGCCUGUUCCAAUCUUUUGCCUGUUUUAAAAUUUAGUUGCUAGUCUCAGCCUUAUUGAUUGGAGGCUUUUUAAAAAUAGGCGUUCUGCAAAAGGACUAUAUGCCUAUUUUAAAAAUAGGCAUAUUCUGGGCACUAGUCCUUUUUCAGAUAUAUGUUUUGCGAAUAUUUUCUCCCAGUGUGGCUUGCCUAUUUAUUUUUCUUAACGAAACCUGAUGAUGAGCAGGAGUUUUUUAUUUAAUAAAAUUUCAUUUAUCAAAUUUUAUCUUAUUCUCUGUGACCUAAGAAAUUUUUGUCGACCCCUCAAAUCCUGAAGACAUUCUCCUGUUUUCCUUCAGAAGCUUAUGGCUUUGUCUAGUAUGCUUAUCACUAUGAUUCGUCUUGAAUUCAUUUUGAGUUUUGUGUGGUAUGAAAUGGGCACUGAGGCUCAUUUUUUUCCGUAAGAACGUAUGGCGAUUCCAGAUCCAUUUGUGGAAAAGAUUUUCUUUUCUUCAUUGGAUUGCUUUGAUGCCUUUUUCAAAAUCAACUGACUGUGGAAAUACGGCUCCAUUUCGGGGCUUUCCCUUCUAUUCUGUUGGUCUGUCGGUCCUUUCGCCAGGACCACACUUUCUUGAUUAUGGUGGUUCUAUGGUCGGUAUUAAAGUAAGAUAAUGUAAGUUCUUUUUCUUCUUCAUUUUUUAGACUGCUUUGGAUAUUCUAAGUCUUUUGAAUUUUCAAAUAAAUUUUAGGAUCAGACUGUGAAUUUCCACUAAAAUCCUGCUUGGAUUACAAUUGAGAUUGUGUUCAAUUUAUAAAUUUGGGCAAACCCAGCCCGUGGCAGCCAGCCACCUAUUUUGUAAAUAAAGUUUUAUUGGAACACAGCCCUGCCUGUUCCUUUCUUUAUUGUCUGUGGCUGCUUUCACGCUACAAUGACAGAGUUAAGAGGUUGCAACAGAGACCAUAUGGCACACAAGCCUAAAAUAAUUGCUAUCCAGCCCUUUAAGAAGAAGUGUGCCAAUCCUAUGGAUCCGUGCGGGAGGAAGUUGGUGUCUUCGGGGUAGUGUGCCUUCCACAUCUUGAGCAUGGCAUUUUGCUCUGUUGAUUUAAAUAUCCCGUAAUUUCUCUCAACAAUGUUUUAUAGUUUUCAGUGUAGGUCUUGCAAGUCUCUUGUUACUUCUAAUUUCACGGUUUGGGGGAGACUAGUAUAAAUGGAAAUGUUUUAAGAUUUUAUUUCCAGUUGUUUGCUCUCAGUAUAUAAAAUACAGUUAAAUUUUGGACAGUAAUUUUGUAUCCUGUGGUUCUAGUAGCUGUAGAAUCCGUAGGAUUUUCUAUCUAAAUAAUCUUGUCAUCAACAAAGAGAGUCAGUUUUAAUUCUUCUCUCAGAUUUUUGUGCCUUUUUUCCCUUGCCUUAUUGCAGUGGCUAGGACCCCCAGUACAAUGUUAAAUAGAUUUGGUAUUACUUUGUUCCCAGUCUUACGGAACACUAUUAAACAGGAUAUUAACGGUAGGUUUUUUUUUUUUAAUAGAUGGGCUUUAUCAGAUUGAGGAAUUUCCUUAUUAUUCCUAGUUUACUAACAGUUUUUAUUGUGAAUGUGUUGAGUUUUGUCAAAUGCUUUUCCUGAAUUUACUGAAGUAUGGUUAUCCUUUAUGAUGCUAGUAUGGUGAAUUACAUUGAUUUUCAAAUGCCAAACCCAUUUUGCAUGACUGGGAUAAAUCCCACUUGCUCAUAAUGUAUUAUCCUUUUCAUCUGCUGCUAGAUUGAAUUUGCUCAUAUUUUCUUAUGGAGUUUUCCACCCAAGCGAAGACUAUUCGCUUGCAAUUUUUAAAAUGUGUUUUUUAAGUUUUGGAACCAGAGUUCUACGGACUCAAUGAAAUGACUUGGAAAGUGUUCCAUCCUCCUCUGUUUUUAAAAAUAAUUUGUUUAAGAUAUGUGUUAUUUCUUCCUUAAAUAUUUGGUAGAAUCUACCAGUAAAAUCAUCUGGGCCUAGAGUUUCUUUGUGGAAGAUUUUUUUUUUUUAAUGAAUUCAACUUCUUUAAUAGACACAAUUCUAUUUAUAUUUUCUAUUUUAUCAUCUUGUGUCAGCAUUUUACAAGGAAUUUGUCCCUUUCUUCUAACCUGUUGAAUUUGUAGCGCUGACAUUGUUCAGAAUAUUCUCUAAUUCUUCUUUUAAUGCUGUCAAUUUCUGUUGCAAUAGCCCUCUUUCAUUCCUAAUCUUACUAACUUGUGUAUUUCUGUUUUUUCUUAAUUGCUCUAGCUAAGGUAUAUCAAUUUUGUUGAUCUUUUCAAAGAACUACUUUUUGGCCUUGCUGUUUUAACAAUUAUUUUGUUUUGUUUUGUUUUUUGUUUCUGGAACUGGAAUUUCCUUUCUUCUACUUACUUUGAGGUUACUUUGCUCUUCGCUUUCAGCUUCCUAAGGUUGAUCCUCAGGUACUUGACUUUAGGCACUUAUUUCUUCUUUUCUCAUACAGGCAUUUAGGACUCUAAGUUUUCCUCUAAGCAUUGCCUUAGCUCCUCAAAUUUUGAUAUUUUUGUUAUUCAGUUCAAAAUCUUUUCUAAUUUUUCUUGUGAUUAUUUCUUUGACUCAUGAGUUACUUGGCUUAUGUACCUUCUGUAUAUCUUCCUUGGUGAGGUGUCUGUCCAGGCUUUUUGCCCAUUUUUUUCAGGGGAGAACGUGAACACAGAGCAGUCCCCUCCUAGGACACGUGGGGAAAUCACAGGGGUGAGCAUUGGAUGAGCCUUGUCCUGGGGAAACCACCUUUGUGAUCACGGCAUCUCAUCUGCCAGACUCUUCAAGGAAAGAUCGUCCGUCACAGGCCCCGGAAGAGACGUCCACUGCCUUCCAGACAAGAAAGACCACUCCAGCAACCCAGCCAACGAGAAACAGUCACCACCCUGAACAAGACCUUGUUUUCCACCAAUGGGCUUCUGUUCAAAACAACCCUCCCAACUUCCUCCUUUUUCUCUAUAAAAUAAAGUCCCUCUCCUUUGUGUGCUAGACUUGACUGUGGCUUUUGCUAUAGUGUGCUUGUCCCAAAUUGCAAUUCCUUUCCUAUUCCCAAAUAAACUGAUUUUGCUGGUAAAAUAA